RNAcentral lists this non-coding RNA (21 nucleotides) under Arabidopsis thaliana (thale cress). Lineage: Eukaryota; Viridiplantae; Streptophyta; Magnoliopsida; Brassicales; Brassicaceae. The record is from RNAcentral.
UGUAUGUUGCACUCUUUUUCC